RNAcentral lists this ribosomal RNA (893 nucleotides) under uncultured bacterium. RNAcentral's name for it is "bacterial SSU rRNA". It matches the Rfam family "Bacterial small subunit ribosomal RNA", at positions 28 to 896 of the family's 1533-position model. The record is from RNAcentral.
AAUCAACGCUGGCGGCGUGCCUAACACAUGCAAGUCGAACGCGAAGGAAGUCUUCGGACUUCUGGAGAGUGGCGCACGGGUGAGUAACACGUGGGUAAUCUGCCUUUGGGUGGGGAAUAACGGUCCGAAAGGGUCGCUAAUACCGCAUAACGCAGCGGCACCGCAUGGUGACAGUUGUUAAAGGGGGGGAUCGAAAGACCUCUCGCCUGAAGAGGAGCCCGCGUCCGAUUAGCUGGUUGGUGAGGUAAUGGCUCACCAAGGCAUCGAUCGGUAGCCGGCCUGAGAGGGCGGUCGGCCACACUGGCACUGAGACACGGGCCAGACUCCUACGGGAGGCAGCAGUGGGGAAUUUUGGGCAAUGGGCGCAAGCCUGACCCAGCAACGCCGCGUGAAGGAUGAAAUCCCUCUGGGAUGUAAACUUCGAAAGUCGGGAAAGAAAUCGCCAUGGAUAACACCCGUGGUGGAUGACGGUACCCGACGUAAGCCCCGGCUAACUACGUGCCAGCAGCCGCGGUAAUACGUAGGGGGCAAGCGUUAUUCGGAAUUACUGGGCGUAAAGGGCGCGUAGGCGGCAUGGCAAGUCGGGAGUGAAAGCCCGGGGCUCAACCCCGGAACUGCUUUCGAAACUGCCAAGCUAGAGUACGGAAGGGGCAACUGGAAUUCCCAGUGUAGCGGUGAAAUGCGUAGAUAUUGGGAAGAACACCGGAGGCGAAGGCGGGUUGCUGGGCCGAUACUGACGCUGAGGCGCGAAAGCCAGGGGAGCAAACGGGAUUAGAUACCCCGGUAGUCCUGGCCCUAAACGAUGGAUACUUGGUGUGUGGGGUUCUCAAAGUCCCCGCGUGCCGGAGCUAACGCGUUAAGUAUCCCGCCUGGGGAGUACGGUCGCAAGGCUG